Molecule: small RNA, 29 nt
Filed under: Bombyx mori (domestic silkworm)
Lineage: Eukaryota; Metazoa; Arthropoda; Insecta; Lepidoptera; Bombycidae
Description: ovarian small RNA-14385
Source: RNAcentral
CGCGACGUCGAAGCCCAUUUGGAUCGCGG